GGUCGUAUUCGUUACCGCGAUCGCAAACACUACGAACGCUAACUACGAAAAAAUCGUGUAUACGCACGGCUUUCAAAAGACGCAAACUACGCGAAUACGAAAAGAACGGAUUGGAAAAAAUUCUGGAAAAGUAUUAAAAUCCCGUGAAAAAUACACCAGGAAGAUGAUGGUCAACCCGAAUCCAGAUGAAGAAAAAAUAUCGGAAAUCAAAACCAAACUGGCCGACGCUUAUUCGUUUAGGGAUUUCCUGAAAACCGAAAACGAAAAUUUAAAAGCAAUAUUCAUGGCCAACUAUAAUAAUAUGUCUGCGGAGGAGGAGGAGGAGAAGGUGGAGGAGGAGGAGGAGGAGGAUAAAUAAUAUUGUAUUAUACAUCGGCUAUACGGACCGAAAAUCUAAAAAUUUUUUCAAGUUUGUCGAACCGGUGCACCUAACCUAACCGUUCGCCAUUGUGAACAUAUUUUUCACUAAAAUCGAUUAUAAACAAAAUUAAAUUGACAUACUUACUGUCUUUAAGAUUUACUAAAGAUCACAAAAAUAAUAUUAAGAAAACAAUGUGAAAAUAGAUAAUAAAA
RNAcentral lists this unclassified non-coding RNA (573 nucleotides) under Rhopalosiphum maidis (corn leaf aphid). RNAcentral's name for it is "c-Myc-binding protein-like, transcript variant X2". The record is from RNAcentral. Lineage: Eukaryota; Metazoa; Arthropoda; Insecta; Hemiptera; Aphididae.